Molecule: long non-coding RNA, 454 nt
Filed under: Ananas comosus (pineapple)
Lineage: Eukaryota; Viridiplantae; Streptophyta; Magnoliopsida; Poales; Bromeliaceae
Description: long non-coding RNA (ACOM_LNC029764)
Source: RNAcentral
UUCUCGAUGCGUUUUUCGGCGAAAUUCGCCGACGGAACGCGAUUUCGGUUCGAAUUUCUUCCGAUGGUUCCUCACUGUGAUUUACGUUAUCGCCUUAUUGGCUGGUCACUUGUGUCGUUUUGACGGUUCGGAGACGACGGGUGAGUGACGUUGGGUUUCGGUAUCGAAAUUGACACUUUUGGGUAUCGGGAUCGGAAUGAUUAUCCGACGAUAAUCGUUUCGAUGUGAGUAUACGUGUUUGCCACCAGGAUACCUUAAUUAUAGUGUUGAGUGGUAGCGGGUGACUCGUGACACAAGUCGGUGAGUUCCGGGGCACUUCGUGGGUCCCGGCGGAGUCCCAAUGUGAUUUUUGGGACUUCCGGCGAGUUACGGUAAUCAGUUUUGGGAAACCGAUUUUACAGGUGGGAUUGUAAGUUAGUGUUUCUCAUUUGUGAGUUAGAUACUAAUCUGGUGG